This 72-nucleotide transfer RNA is filed under the name Parvibaculum sp. RNAcentral describes it as "tRNA-Arg". It matches the Rfam family "tRNA". Rfam says of the family: Transfer RNA (tRNA) molecules are approximately 80 nucleotides in length. Their secondary structure includes four short double-helical elements and three loops (D, anti-codon, and T loops). The record is from RNAcentral. Lineage: Bacteria; Pseudomonadati; Pseudomonadota; Alphaproteobacteria; Hyphomicrobiales; Parvibaculaceae.
GGGUGUAUGGUGUAACGGAUAGCAUUCCGACCUUCUAAGUCGGAGAUGGGGGUUCAAUUCCUCCUACGCCCG